This 75-nucleotide antisense RNA is filed under the name Streptomyces varsoviensis. Its description in RNAcentral is "ASpks sRNA". It matches the Rfam family "ASpks TB sRNA". The record is from RNAcentral. Lineage: Bacteria; Bacillati; Actinomycetota; Actinomycetes; Kitasatosporales; Streptomycetaceae.
CUUGAGCGACCCGAGCCACAACGGCCGCUCAGCGGGGCGUUCCUGACCGUACGUCGCCAGCAGCGCGUCGACUUC